UGGGGAAUUUUGGACAAUGGGCGAAAGCCUGAUCCAGCAAUGCCGCGUGUGUGAAGAAGGCCUUCGGGUUGUAAAGCACUUUUGUCCGGAAAGAAAUCCUCUGGGUUAAUACCUCGGGGGGAUGACGGUACCGGAAGAAUAAGCACCGGCUAACUACGUGCCAGCAGCCGCGGUAAUACGUAGGGUGCAAGCGUUAAUCGGAAUUACUGGGCGUAAAGCGUGCGCAGGCGGUUUUGUAAGACGGAUGUGAAAUCCCCGGGCUUAACCUGGGAACUGCAUUCGUGACUGCAAGGCUAGAGUAUGGCAGAGGGGGGUUAGAAUUCCACGUGUAGCAGUGAGAUGCGUAGAGAUGUGGAGGAAUACCGAUGGCGAAGGCAGCCCCCUGGGCCAAUACUGACGCUCAUGCACGAAAGCGUGGGGAGCAAACAGGAUUAGAUACCCUGGUAGUCCACGCCCUAAACGAUGUCAACUAGUUGUUGGGGAUUCAUUUCCUAGUAACGUAGCUAACGCGUGAAGUUGACCGCCUGGGGAGUACGGUCGCAAGAUU
This 547-nucleotide ribosomal RNA is filed under the name uncultured bacterium. Its description in RNAcentral is "partial 16S ribosomal RNA". It matches the Rfam family "Bacterial small subunit ribosomal RNA", at positions 355 to 895 of the family's 1533-position model. The record is from RNAcentral.